Myotis davidii is the source of this 294-nucleotide long non-coding RNA. RefSeq lists it as uncharacterized. The record is from RefSeq and is a predicted model, not a curated record. The transcript is spliced from 3 exons. Lineage: Eukaryota; Metazoa; Chordata; Mammalia; Chiroptera; Vespertilionidae.
AUGAUAAUUUCUUGAAUGAACAAGAAUAUAGGAGUUAAAACAAAAUACAAAUAGAGACCAAACUUGAAAAUUCCCUGAACAGCAGAACCAGCUAAGCCAUGCCGACCAGAAGUGAGUGAAAGAGGCUGCUUGCCGGGAGGUGAAUGAGAAUAGAAAUGAAAUGAGUCUGGCUUUCAAAUGCCAAACGGGUAGCCAAAAACUCCUGGAUUGAUUUGGAAUACCAGUAAUAUCAAUUGAUAGGAAAAAUUAUACUUUGUCAGCCCCAAGCUCUCAACUAAUUCUUUAAACAGGUAA